Molecule: ribosomal RNA, 510 nt
Filed under: uncultured Glomus
Lineage: Eukaryota; Fungi; Glomeromycota; Glomeromycetes; Glomerales; Glomeraceae
Description: SSU rRNA
Rfam family: Eukaryotic small subunit ribosomal RNA
Source: RNAcentral
AGCAGCCGCGGUAAUUCCAGCUCCAAUAGCGUAUAUUAAAGUUGCUGCAGUUAAAAAGCUCGUAGUUGAAUUUCGGGACCAUCAUGUCGGUCGUGCCUCGGUACGUACUGGCAUUGUUGGUUUCUCCCUUCUGACGAACCAUGAUGUCAUUUAUUUGGUGUCGUGGGAAAUCAGGACUGUUACUUUGAAAAAAUUAGAGUGUUUAAGGCAGGCUCACGCUUGAAUACAUUAGCAUGGAAUAAUGAAAUAGGACGUUUGAUUCUAUUUUGUUGGUUUCUAGGAUCGACGUAAUGAUUAAUAGGGAUAGUUGGGGGCAUUAGUAUUCAAUUGUCAGAGGUGAAAUUCUUGGAUUUAUUGAAGACUAACUACUGCGAAAGCAUUUGCCAAGGAUGUUUUCAUUAAUCAAGAACGAAAGUUAGGGGAUCGAAGACGAUCAGAUACCGUCGUAGUCUUAACCAUAAACUAUGCCGACUAGGGAUCGGAUGAUGUUAAUUUUUAAUGUACUCAUUC